This 253-nucleotide ribosomal RNA is filed under the name uncultured bacterium. Its description in RNAcentral is "partial 16S ribosomal RNA". It matches the Rfam family "Bacterial small subunit ribosomal RNA", at positions 524 to 776 of the family's 1533-position model. The record is from RNAcentral.
UACGUAGGGAGCAAGCGUUGUCCGGAUUUACUGGGUGUAAAGGGUGCGUAGGCGGCUUUGCAAGUCAGAAGUGAAAUCGAUGGGCUUAACCCAUAAACUGCUUUUGAAACUGCAGGGCUUGAGUGAAGUAGAGGUAGGCGGAAUUCCCGGUGUAGCGGUGAAAUGCGUAGAGAUCGGGAGGAACACCAGUGGCGAAGGCGGCCUACUGGGCUUUAACUGACGCUGAGGCACGAAAGCGUGGGGAGCAAACAGG